Molecule: ribosomal RNA, 521 nt
Filed under: Polaribacter sp.
Lineage: Bacteria; Pseudomonadati; Bacteroidota; Flavobacteriia; Flavobacteriales; Flavobacteriaceae
Description: bacterial SSU rRNA
Rfam family: Bacterial small subunit ribosomal RNA
Source: RNAcentral
CACUCUGACCAGCCAUGCCGCGUGCAGGAAGACUGCCCUAUGGGUUGUAAACUGCUUUUAUACAGGAAGAAACACUCGUACGUGUACGAGCUUGACGGUACUGUAAGAAUAAGGACCGGCUAACUCCGUGCCAGCAGCCGCGGUAAUACGGAGGGUCCGAGCGUUAUCCGGAAUCAUUGGGUUUAAAGGGUCCGCAGGCGGUCAAUUAAGUCAGAGGUGAAAUCCCAUAGCUUAACUAUGGAACUGCCUUUGAUACUGGUUGACUUGAGUCAUAUGGAAGUAGAUAGAAUGUGUAGUGUAGCGGUGAAAUGCAUAGAUAUUACACAGAAUACCGAUUGCGAAGGCAGUCUACUACGUAUGUACUGACGCUCAUGGACGAAAGCGUGGGGAGCGAACAGGAUUAGAUACCCUGGUAGUCCACGCCGUAAACGAUGGACACUAGUUGUUGGGCAUUAGCUCAGUGACUAAGCGAAAGUGAUAAGUGUCCCACCUGGGGAGUACGAUCGCAAGAUUGAAACUCA